This 253-nucleotide ribosomal RNA is filed under the name uncultured bacterium. RNAcentral describes it as "partial 16S ribosomal RNA". It matches the Rfam family "Bacterial small subunit ribosomal RNA", at positions 524 to 776 of the family's 1533-position model. The record is from RNAcentral.
UACGGGGGGGGCAAGCGUUGUUCGGAAUUACUGGGCGUAAAGCGUGCGCAGGCGGUUUUGUAAGCCAGAUGUGAAAUCCCCGGGCUUAACCUGGGAAUGGCAUUUGGGACUGCAAGGCUCGAGUGCGGCAGAGGAGACUGGAAUUCCUGGUGUAGCGGUGAAAUGCGCAGAUAUCAGGAGGAACACCGGUGGCGAAGGCGGGUCUCUGGGCCGUAACUGACGCUGAGGAGCGAAAGCGUGGGGAGCAAACAGG